CAAUCCACUUGGAACCUCUAAGAAAAAGCACAAAAUAUCAGCAGUAUAUUGGGUUUUGGCCAAUAUGCCUCCUGAAUUGCGAUCUACUCUGACAUCAAUACAUUUGGCUAUUCUUAGCAAAGGUGAUGAUGUAAGAAGGUUUGGAUAUGAUGCAGUUUUGGAACCACUUUUGAAAGAUAUUUGUGUCUUAGAACAGGAAGGAGUUUUCAUUGCUAGUGUUGGAAAAACCAUCAAAGGGACUGUACUUUGUGUUGUAGCAGACAACCUUGGUGCCCAUUCUCUCAGUGGUUUAGUUGAAAGUUUUACUGGGGAUUACAUCUGUAGGUUCUGUUUAGGAUGUCGUAGUGAAUUCCAGCAGAAAGAAGUAAGAUCAGGGGCUUUUCCACAAAGGACAAAAGAGGCAUAUGCUGAGCAUGUUGAGACUAUGAAGGUAAAUCCUACACUUACCCAUUGUUUUGGUGUCAAAAAGGCUUGUCCACUGACAGAGAAACUGACACAUUUUCACUUUGCCUGUGGUUAUCCUCCAGAUAUAGCUCAUGACUUAUUUGAAGGUAUCAUUCCAGUAGAGCUAGCACUGUGCCUCUCUGUUCUUAUCAAGAAAAAAUACGUCACAUUAAAUGAACUGAAUGACUCAAUUAAACAAUUCCCCUACAAAUGGACUGACAAAACUAACAGCCCUCAAUCAAUACCCCAAAAUUUUGCUACUCGCCAUAGCGUAGGGGGAAAUGCACAUGAGAACUGGGCACUAAUCAGACUUCUCCCACUCUUUAUUGGGUCAAAGAUACCUUUGGAUGAACCAGCAUGGCACAUUCUCAUGAUUUUAAAAGACAUCAUUGAACUUGUCGUGUCACCUGUCCACACAGCAGAAAGUAUUGCUUUCCUUGACUUAAAGAUAUCUGAACAUCGCCAUCUCUUUUUAAGUGUGUUUCCAAAUGAACGACUGCUUCCAAAACACCACUUCUUGGAGCACUAUCCUCAAAUGAUUGAAGCCUUUGGACCACUUGUUGGAUUUUGGACAAUGCGAUUUGAAUCAAAACAUAGUUUCUUUAAACGUGUAGUGAGGCAUACUACCAACUUCAGAAAUGUUUUGCUGUCACUCACUACAAGGCACCAAAUGAUGAUGGCUUACCACUCCUAUGCAAGCACUGUGACACCUUCAGUGUGUGUCAGUAAGGUGCACAAAAUGCCUAUGGAAUUGGUACAUGCAGAGGUACAGGAGGCCAUAAGAAAAUUAUCACCAAACCAAACAAGUGUGCA
This 1257-nucleotide long non-coding RNA is filed under the name Scleropages formosus (Asian bonytongue). RNAcentral describes it as "lncRNA (ENSSFOG00015028525.1)". Lineage: Eukaryota; Metazoa; Chordata; Actinopteri; Osteoglossiformes; Osteoglossidae. The record is from RNAcentral.